UUCAUACUCAUGGGUUGUCGUUGCGCGCUUGGAUCGCACUUUGCCUUCAUUUUCGUUUCACGUUCGAACAUGAUAACCGCUUUGGUGUGGUGAUAAAGAUGGCCCUAUAUGUGGGACGAUCGGCGACUAGAAAAGUGUCCGGUAGAUUCCUAUAGAAUACAUUUACGGAAGGUUUCAUACUGCAAUGCUUCCGUCCAGCUUAUAAAGUAAUCGGUACAAACAGAAAGGAUACAUGCUUCGAAUAACGCUAAUGGCACUUCUUUCAUUAAGGUGGCUUCCAGAACGUAAUUGGCAAGAAUGUCAUUCCUUCGCUGAGCCAAACAGGAACCGGAAGACUGGAUUACCAGAUAGCACGCUUUUAGUUCGACACUAUCGGUAGGGGAUUAUCGGAGGGUGAUGUGUCGUCUCGUGUGACGCGACUCUUGUAAUUAACUCACAUCUACUUUUCGUACUACAACCUCGGAUGCUGAAGUCUAACAUUUUUGGAUCUUGCCUUUCAAUUACAAGUAAAAAGUAAAUGAGACCAUCAAAUGUGUCGUGACUCCAGUGUGCGAAGUGGCGCAAAGUGUAUCGUCAAAAUAGACCUGUCUUCUCUUACGUCCCUGCGUUGAAUGCUCUAAACAAGAAGUGACACUUUACGGCCGGAAUCGUACAAGCCGCACGAUAUAGUAACGGACCGCAAACAUCUUCAACAGCCAGACGGCUCCGUUCAUCACGAAUCUGCCGGCUGUGGGAUCCACUCCAAGAUGUUUCCAACUUUAAUUAUAGAUUAGAAAUUCAUUUCCAGCAUCCAUAACAAUUAACUUAGGUGAUACGUUAUCGCUGAAUACACCAAGUAAAAACCAGCGUGUGAUUUAUGUUGCUCAAAGAGAAAUAACUAAAGAAUCGUUGUAUUGCGGCGAAAGUUGGCAUUCAGUGAAGAGAAAACCAAAAAGUUAGAGAAUGAAGUAGCGUUUUAAGAGAUACAAUUUGUCACAAGUUAGAUUUAGUUGUAAGAAGUAUAGCUCACCAAACAGGUUACCGGAGGGUAAGUGUCAGUAACUCAUCCCUGUGAAGGUCUUCUCCCUAGAGCGAGUUUUGAAUAAAACCAUGCGUUGAUAACAGAAGAGGAGCUUAAAAGAUUUGAGGAGCAGCUAGCAACAGAUCCAUGCCACAAAGCGAAGAUAGUGCGUUAUUUGCAAGGGCAAAUAAGUCGUGUGGCCGUGCCGAAUCGUCUACAUGCUUUAAUUGAUUUUUUUUUUUGUUCGUAAGGAACGGCCUUGCCGUAUUGCUUAAAGCUAAAUUAUAAAUAUUAGUACAUUUCACGAUGGUUUGGAGACAUUUCCUUCUCCAAGCCGUGAAAGGGCACCUUAUCCCGGGUGAACUCGGUUGAUCCGUUAAUAAUACAUCCGUCAUCCAAAUUUGAGGUUUUGUCGGUAGCGAGGGUCGGUAUCGUGAGGGCUCAUCUCAUCUCAAUUGUUUUUGGGAUAUGCCAUCGUCAGUAUUCUGCGUGUUGUAAUCCAGCGUUCUUCCAUCCCUCUGGCUUGCCUGCUUUCAUUGGCCGUCGCAACACGCCAUUGCAACGGUGUAGCUUUUGGUCCUGGAUCCUCCAGGAUAUUCCGCCUAUGCCAUACCAAGCCCCUCUAUCAUCGCACUCAUUCAUACAUUCAUUCAUUUAAUAAUUC
Molecule: long non-coding RNA, 1664 nt
Organism: Anopheles stephensi (Asian malaria mosquito)
Lineage: Eukaryota; Metazoa; Arthropoda; Insecta; Diptera; Culicidae
Exons: 6
Source: RefSeq, a predicted model, not a curated record